RNAcentral lists this small nucleolar RNA (117 nucleotides) under Myotis lucifugus (little brown bat). RNAcentral's name for it is "Small nucleolar RNA SNORA9 (ENSMLUG00000021276.2)". The record is from RNAcentral. Lineage: Eukaryota; Metazoa; Chordata; Mammalia; Chiroptera; Vespertilionidae.
UAGCAAAUUAAUAUUAAUAAUUGGAAAGGACCUAUAGUGCUUGCUAGAACAUUUUGGAACGGUUUGAGGCCUUGCCCUGCUGCAUCUGGAGCAAAGUUAUAGAAAUUUCAGACAAUC